This 253-nucleotide ribosomal RNA is filed under the name uncultured bacterium. RNAcentral describes it as "partial 16S ribosomal RNA". It matches the Rfam family "Bacterial small subunit ribosomal RNA", at positions 524 to 776 of the family's 1533-position model. The record is from RNAcentral.
UACGAAGGGGGCUAGCGUUGUUCGGAAUUACUGGGCGUAAAGCGCACGUAGGCGGAUAUUUAAGUCAGGGGUGAAAUCCCAGAGCUCAACUCUGGAACUGCCUUUGAUACUGGGUAUCUUGAGUAUGGAAGAGGUAAGUGGAAUUGCGAGUGUAGAGGUGAAAUUCGUAGAUAUUCGCAGGAACACCAGUGGCGAAGGCGGCUUACUGGUCCAUAACUGACGCUGAGGAGCGAAAGCGUGGGGAGCAAACAGG